AUGUGCUGGAGUCAUGCAGAGUUCAAAUUUACCAUACCCAUCAAGAUGCAAAUCCCAAAUUUCGUUUAGCAUUGUCCCGUUGGUAAGGAUGUUACACGCAGGUCAGGAUUCUAUCUCCCCCCAAGCCCUUUAAAUGUGUUUAUUCAUUCUGUUUAUUUUCAUUUCCCAGCUUCCACAUGUCGCUCAGUCAGAUUUUCUGUUAGCAAGACUGAGAGACGAAUAACAUAUGUUACCCCACAACUGACCUUGAAGGAGAACUGAAGAAACCACCUUCCCCAGGGCUGAGAUGUAAUUCAGACACGAGCUUUCUCUGUAGAGCUCCUUUUCUGAAAAGUCACUGCCAACUGUGUCCUAAGCCCUGGAAACGUUCCUGCCUGCAUCGAUAGCAGAGCGUGAAGUACGGACCAGGGGGAUGUUGAGGAUUUAGCCUUCUGUGCCAUCCCUCCCUCAGCUCUCAUAAGCAAAGCAAACAAAUUCUUUGUGUCUUAGAAGAAUCAGAUAAUUCAGCCAACUUGAGUCGUUUCCUCGCAGGCCUGGCUUUUCACCUGAGGGAGUAGGUUUGCUCAUCCUGCCCAGGUUAAAGUGACUGAAAAUCAAUGUGGUUUGACAGCUGUGGGAAAGAAAUAAAUAAAUGGAUGUACAGACUGUUGAGCAACAAAGACUCUUCAAGUGGAUGCGAAGUGAGGCACUAAAAGAAACUUGUCUCUGAUCUUCCUUACAAGUUCUUGAUUCAUGGCAGUCUGGCCAGCCACAGCCCUGUCUGAUGGGGUUGGUCUGACUCUUCCAUGGUGUUUUCCACCUCCUUGCACAUUCUGCUCAGGAAGAAGCCACAGGAGGGACGUUCAGCUCUCCCCUGCCCUUGUCUGGCUGAGCUGGGCACGUCAAACAGGAGAUGGCCUUGCCAAAGAACUGCCUGCCUACCUAUGUCCUCAUUCCACGAUCCAGGUGACUUUUGUUCCACGGAGCCACACCUCAGCCUCUCACCUCACCGGGAGAGAAAACCUCCCAGACGUCUCAGUUUUGCAACCGAGCAGUUGUGCCCUUGUCGUGCUUCCAGCAUUUCCUCACAGCCCGCACUCAGAAACGAGGGCUGCGAGUCCCAGCCUCAGCAGGAACGUCUCCCCCAUCAUUAAAUAAUUGAGCUGCUCCUGCAAUCUGGAGCCCGGCAGCCCGAGACGCUACCUCAUAGCUGCUGGGUCGCUGGCACAGGUUUGACAAAACCCUUCAGGGAUGGCUACUGCAGGGAGGCUCUUUCCUGGCAGGUCCCAGCUUGGUUUGUUGGGUCAGUGGGGAGACAGACAGGGCUCGCCACGCCAGGCCCGUGCCAAGCCACGCUGGCCAAAAUUGGCUGAGCCCUGGCUGUACCUUCCAGAAGUACUGAAGAAGGGGUUUUGGUCCUUGGUUGAGGAAAGGAAGGAAAUUUAGGUAUCAGAGUCCUUGGGAGAUGCUGUUUUGCUGCCCUCUAGGCAAAGAUUAAAGCUUGAAAUGUGGAAACUACAGAAAAUGCUGUCCUGAGCACACCAAAGCAAAGCAAAGGGUUGGGAAGGUGGAAAGGCUUUUCGUGGGACUUCAUUAAGGUGUGAGUAUGAAAUCUGUAAAAAGAUCUCUGGCCUCAGAUAAGGGAGAUCCAGUGGUGUACAACAAAGAAUUAUCAGUAAAGGCAUCAUAAUUACAAAGUUCUUUUAUAUUAAAAUGAUGUCAUGUAAUAGGUUGAAGAACAAGAAAUAAAUAAGCUGUGCAGAUCUCCUUUAUCUAAAUA
RNAcentral lists this long non-coding RNA (1759 nucleotides) under Junco hyemalis (dark-eyed junco). RNAcentral's name for it is "lncRNA (ENSJHYG00000003481.1)". The record is from RNAcentral. Lineage: Eukaryota; Metazoa; Chordata; Aves; Passeriformes; Passerellidae.